Long non-coding RNA from Penaeus chinensis, 1490 nucleotides. RefSeq lists it as uncharacterized. NCBI's taxonomy places the organism in Eukaryota, Metazoa, Arthropoda, Malacostraca, Decapoda, Penaeidae. The record is from RefSeq and is a predicted model, not a curated record. The transcript is spliced from 3 exons.
CGUAACCUAACUUUACCGUAUUCUUUCUGUUCCAUUCCAUUUUCUUUCUCUCUCACUCGCUGUCUUUCUUUCAUUGUCUGUUUCAUUCAUUGCCUUUCUUUGUCUUUCAUUAAUUGAUUCAUUUUCUUUUGUUUUCUUUCUCCAUCUCAUCUAUUCGUGUUUUCACUCACUCUUUCUUUUUAAUUUAUUCACCUAUUUUUAUUUUUUUCCACAUUCUUUCUCCUUUUCAGUCCCUGUGGCGUAAUCCGUCUUCAGUGACUUCGGCAUCGAAAGCUUGAUCAUACAAUUUUUAUUUUCGUUCAGAUUGAAAGGGUACCGCUCUAAAUAACCUACUCCAGGACAUUUCUGUAGUCACCCGUAAAUAAAACCAGCUGAGUUCGAAAAAUCCAGCAGAUCCGAGGAAAUAUCAGUCUAUUCUAAAUAUAUAAAAGCAGCAUCAGCGAAUAUCUUGCAGAAGAAACGGGUGCAUUGAGGUAGUAGUGGCUAUCGUAAGCAAUAAUGUUUACGGUUUGCAAUAGAAGAAGAGGUGUAGAGAGAAGGCAUGAAUGAAUAAAUGAGUGAUAGAAAGAAACAAAGGGAGGGGGGAGAGAAAGAGAAUAUGAGCAUAAAUGAAUGAAUGCAAAAGAGAGGAGACAUGACUGGGUGAAUAAAAGAGAAAGAGAAAAAGAUAAAGAGUGAAUAAACGAAUGCGAGACAGAUAGAGAAAUGAAGAAAGAGAGAAAUUUAAUAAGAUGGAGAGAAAAAAAGAGAGUAUGACUCAAGGAAUAAGAGUGAAGAAAUAAACGAGAAAAUAAAAUAGAUAAACAUAGAUAAUCAGAGACGCAAAUAAGUAGGUAGAGAAAAUUGCUAGAGUAAGUUACUUGCCUCUACUGACGUCUCGUAUUUUCCCUGAAAUUCGAAUUUGUUUAGGCGGUACUUGAGAGGUAGAUGACGUCAAAACUACUUAUCAGAUUAAAGUUUGUAUUUACCAUACGACACGAAAGAGUAAGUUUUGGUGAAAAAGGAAGAAUUAUCAGGGUAAAUUGUUCUCCAAGUAUCAAGAAUGUCGGAAGAAUACUUAUCUUUUGGCCAAGAGCCCAGAGGAUAUAACAGUGACAGAUGGCAAGGACAAGUCUACUGCAUUUGAACUGAAACUUUAUAAAAGCACUAGAAUCAAGGUAAUGACAACAAAUCAAAGAAAAUGAAUAAGAAAAAAAAAUGCAUUUCAUCUGGCAACGUGUACCUUACGCCGCGGAUACUCACUCAAAAUAUGCCCAUCUAUGGAGGGUUUGCGACCACAUGUAGGCCACCUUAGAAUGCCUAAGUUUGUUCUUCGUAUUUUACUUGGUGUUGGAUGGACUGGAAAACAAUAUCUUCAUGAAGCCCAUGGAAUCCAUUAUCACAAUCGGAAAGCAGUGGCAUAGAUAAGCAGAAAACAGCUGUGCAAGUAUCUGAAAAGGACGUUGCCUUUUUCAUCAGCCAAGAGUUUUUUGAACGGAUUUUGGAAGCAG